This 225-nucleotide long non-coding RNA is filed under the name Lathyrus oleraceus (garden pea). Its description in RNAcentral is "Pisum sativum (pea) long non-coding RNA (PSAT_LNC001301)". Lineage: Eukaryota; Viridiplantae; Streptophyta; Magnoliopsida; Fabales; Fabaceae. The record is from RNAcentral.
UUUAAUUCAUGAUUAGAUUUUAGGUUAAUUUUCCAUUCGAUCCGUAUAUCAUAUUAUGAUUGUCAUGACUGAAGAUAGCAGAAAUAUACUCGAACGCAUCGCAUGCUCGACCAUACAACAGAGUCACCAUCAGACUUUAUUUAUUCCUGAAGGAAAGGAAAAACAUCGAUAAAACCCGGGGGAAAGAGAUAUGAUGGGUAAGCAAGUCGGUUACGCAAGGGGAAG